Molecule: ribosomal RNA, 1430 nt
Filed under: Campylobacter coli
Lineage: Bacteria; Pseudomonadati; Campylobacterota; Epsilonproteobacteria; Campylobacterales; Campylobacteraceae
Description: partial 23S ribosomal RNA
Rfam family: Bacterial large subunit ribosomal RNA
Source: RNAcentral
GUCGUAGGAGGUUAUACAGGCAAAUCCGUAUAACAAUACUCCGAGAACUGAAAGGCUUUUUGAAGUCUUCGGAUGGAUAGAAGAACCCCUGAUGCCGUCGAGCCAAGAAAAGUUUCUAAGUUUAGCUAAUGUUGCCCGUACCGUAAACCGACACAGGUGGGUGGGAUGAGUAUUCUAAGGCGCGUGGAAGAACUCUCUUUAAGGAACUCUGCAAAAUAGCACCGUAUCUUCGGUAUAAGGUGUGGUUCGCUUCGUAUUAGGAUUUACUCCGAAAGCGAAGAAACUUACAACAAAGAGUCCCUCCCGACUGUUUACCAAAAACACAGCACUCUGCUAACUCGUAAGAGGAUGUAUAGGGUGUGACGCCUGCCCGGUGCUCGAAGGUUAAUUGAUGGGGUUAGCAUUAGCGAAGCUCUUGAUCGAAGCCCGAGUAAACGGCGGCCGUAACUAUAACGGUCCUAAGGUAGCGAAAUUCCUUGUCGGUUAAAUACCGACCUGCAUGAAUGGCGUAACGAGAUGGGAGCUGUCUCAAAGAGGGAUCCAGUGAAAUUGUAGUGGAGGUGAAAAUUCCUCCUACCCGCGGCAAGACGGAAAGACCCCGUGGACCUUUACUACAGCUUGACACUGCUAUUUGGAUAAGAAUGUGCAGGAUAGGUGGGAGGCUUUGAGUAUAUGACGCCAGUUGUAUAUGAGCCAUUGUUGAGAUACCACUCUUUCUUAUUUGGGUAGCUAACCAGCUUGAGUUAUCCUCAAGUGGGACAAUGUCUGGUGGGUAGUUUGACUGGGGCGGUCGCCUCCCAAAUAAUAACGGAGGCUUACAAAGGUUGGCUCAGAACGGUUGGAAAUCGUUCGUAGAGUAUAAAGGUAUAAGCCAGCUUAACUGCAAGACAUACAAGUCAAGCAGAGACGAAAGUCGGUCUUAGUGAUCCGGUGGUUCUGUGUGGAAGGGCCAUCGCUCAAAGGAUAAAAGGUACCCCGGGGAUAACAGGCUGAUCUCCCCCAAGAGCUCACAUCGACGGGGAGGUUUGGCACCUCGAUGUCGGCUCAUCGCAUCCUGGGGCUGGAGCAGGUCCCAAGGGUAUGGCUGUUCGCCAUUUAAAGCGGUACGCGAGCUGGGUUCAGAACGUCGUGAGACAGUUCGGUCCCUAUCUGCCGUGGGCGUAAGAAGAUUGAAGAGAUUUGACCCUAGUACGAGAGGACCGGGUUGAACAAACCACUGGUGUAGCUGUUGUUCUGCCAAGAGCAUCGCAGCGUAGCUAAGUUUGGAAAGGAUAAACGCUGAAAGCAUCUAAGCGUGAAGCCAACUCUAAGAUGAAUCUUCUCUAAGCUCUCUAGAAGACUACUAGUUUGAUAGGCUGGGUGUGUAAUGGAUGAAAGUCCUUUAGCUGACCAGUACUAAUAGAGCGUUUGGCUUAUCUUUAAUAAAGCAU